AUUGAACGCUGGCGGCAGGCUUAACACAUGCAAGUCGAGCGGGGUGAUGGUGCUUGCACUAUCACUUAGCGGCGGACGGGUGAGUAAUGCUUAGGAAUCUGCCGAUUAGUGGGGGACGACAUCUCGAAAGGGAUGCUAAUACCGCAUACGUCCUACGGGAGAAAGCAGGGGAUCACUUGUGACCUUGCGCUAAUAGAUGAGCCUAAGUCGGAUUAGCUGGUUGGUGGGGUAAAGGCCGACCAAGGCGACGAUCUGUAGCGGGUCUGAGAGGAUGAUCCGCCACACUGGGACUGAGACACGGCCCAGACUCCUACGGGAGGCAGCAGUGGGGAAUAUUGGACAAUGGGGGGAACCCUGAUCCAGCCAUGCCGCGUGUGUGAAGAAGGCCUUAUGGUUGUAAAGCACUUUAAGCGAGGAGGAGGCUCUUUUGGUUAAUACCCAAGAUGAGUGGACGUUACUCGCAGAAUAAGCACCGGCUAACUCUGUGCCAGCCGCCGCCGUAA
RNAcentral lists this ribosomal RNA (503 nucleotides) under uncultured bacterium. RNAcentral's name for it is "partial 16S ribosomal RNA". It matches the Rfam family "Bacterial small subunit ribosomal RNA", at positions 30 to 523 of the family's 1533-position model. The record is from RNAcentral.